UCCUUGAAUCCCGUCCCAAUCUCUUUAUGUCGAUUAAAUCUUUCGUCUUUUUCUAAAGUUUUCAGUGGGGAGGAACAAUACAAAUAUCAAUAACUUUUUUGACAUCUUGCUUUGCUACGGGGCU
RNAcentral lists this small nuclear RNA (124 nucleotides) under Salmo salar (Atlantic salmon). RNAcentral's name for it is "U5 spliceosomal RNA (ENSSSAG00000051677.2, ENSSSAG00020079718.1, ENSSSAG00070018948.1, ENSSSAG00075039398.1)". It matches the Rfam family "U5 spliceosomal RNA". Rfam says of the family: U5 RNA is a component of both types of known spliceosome. The precise function of this molecule is unknown, though it is known that the 5' loop is required for splice site selection and p220 binding, and that both the 3' stem-loop and the Sm site are important for Sm protein binding and cap methylation. Lineage: Eukaryota; Metazoa; Chordata; Actinopteri; Salmoniformes; Salmonidae. The record is from Rfam by way of RNAcentral.